Long non-coding RNA from Coccinella septempunctata (seven-spotted ladybird), 285 nucleotides. RefSeq lists it as uncharacterized. The transcript has 2 exons. Lineage: Eukaryota; Metazoa; Arthropoda; Insecta; Coleoptera; Coccinellidae. The record is from RefSeq and is a predicted model, not a curated record.
CGAAUUUGAUAAAGGAAAUAAAUAAAUAGUUUUUCUCGAGUGCACGCAUUCCGACCGCGUAUGUGCGAUGUUCUUGUUUCAUUCAUAUCAAUGCGUCCAUACCUACCUGUACGUCACGUUAAUUUGAGACCCCGAGAUGAACCUGCUUUUUUCGAAUGAUUUUACGAGUUUGAAUUUUUCAGACGAUUUUUAAUUCAUUAUUCAUAAGCCUGAAGAAGAGAAGAAUUUUUCUCGAAACGUUGCUGCGUGAAUAAAUUGUAAAUAAAGUGUUCCUAAGACUGAAAA